GUCUGGGACUUCCCUGCACACUGGUGAAUGCGUGCCACUGCUGGCAGCUGUGACUGUAUUUGAAAAGCGUAAUUCUGGUUCAUGUUCUCUUUACGACAGACUUUGUUUCCUUUUUUAUUCCUUUUUUUUUUAGUGAUAAGGUCUCACUCGGUCACCUAAGCUGAAGUGCAGUGGCACAAUCACAGCUCACUGCAGCCUCGAACUCCUGGGCUCCAUUGACUCUCCUGCCUCAGCCUCCCAAGUAGCUGGGACUGCAGGCAUGAGUCACAAUGCCCAGUUAAUUUUUUCAUUUUUUGUUGAGAUGGGGUCUCACUAUGUUGCCCAGGCUUGCCUUGAACUUCUGAGCUCAAGCAACCCUCCCAUGUCAGCCAAAGUGCUAGGAUUACAGGCAAGAGACAUCGCACCUGGCCAAAAUUAUCUUUUGAUAAGAAUGCUGACAUUCGCCUUGUUUUCUCCUGAUAUUGCAUCGCUGAGAUAAAGUCUGGGUCUCCAUCUUGUCUCUAUCCAUGAGACAACAACAUGUAUGCUGAGUCUGCUGAAGUGGGGCUUGGUACAUAGUCUGGGGUUGGCCUAAGCCCCCUUCCCUUUUUUCCUACUUUUUACCUUUGACCUUUUGUUUUCUUUGGACUAACAUAUUGUAGGUGCAUGCUCUGAGGCAAGCACUGUGCUAAGUAUUUCACAUGCAUUAGCUCAUUGGGUGCUCCCACUGCCUUCCAUGAGAGAAGCAGCCUUCUGAGGUCAGAGCGGGCCGAAGAUGUGCAGCCUGACUUCUCACCCAGGUCUUUCCAAAGUCUAGGGCAAAGCUCUAAGUACUUCCUGCCCCUUGCUCAGCAAUCGCCCUGCUUAUAGCAGAAGAGAAUAGAGUGUCUAGAAAGCAUCACACAAGUCUCUUCUCUGGAGAGAAUCUCACAAUGUGAGUCCUGGAAGAGAUUGCCAAGCCCCCAGAAGAGCACCACCCUCAUUACACAACUGGAAAGAGUGAAUGCCAAAUUGCCUAGCUCGAGGUCAGCCAACUCAUUAAUUGAAGACAGAAAGAUAAUGUGGAAAUCAAGCAAUGUUACCAUUUUGUGAUGGCUUCAGACAAAGAUUUUACAAGGAAGAUGUUGGAAACCGCGAGUGAAGUUUGGGACUGGGCAUUAUAUAUGAAUUGAGUUUUUCCCUGCAUUCGACAGGGUGGAACACUUGACAGGUGACUAUGGGAUCUGCCCCCACCCCCGGCUUCC
RNAcentral lists this long non-coding RNA (1223 nucleotides) under Homo sapiens (human). RNAcentral's name for it is "HSALNT0160704". The record is from RNAcentral. Lineage: Eukaryota; Metazoa; Chordata; Mammalia; Primates; Hominidae.